RNAcentral lists this ribosomal RNA (473 nucleotides) under uncultured organism. Its description in RNAcentral is "partial 16S ribosomal RNA". It matches the Rfam family "Bacterial small subunit ribosomal RNA", at positions 335 to 799 of the family's 1533-position model. The record is from RNAcentral.
ACUCCUGCGGGAGGCAGCAGUGGGGAAUUUUGGACAAUGGGCGAAAGCCUGAUCCAGCAAUGCCGCGUGAGUGAAGAAGGCCUUCGGGUUGUAAAGCUCUUUUGUCAGGGAAGAAACGGUGAAAGCUAAUAUCUUUUGCUAAUGACGGUACCUGAAGAAUAAGCACCGGCUAACUACGUGCCAGCAGCCGCGGUAAUACGUAGGGUGCAAGCGUUAAUCGGAAUUACUGGGCGUAAAGCGUGCGCAGGCGGUUUUGUAAGUCUGAUGUGAAAUCCCCGGGCUCAACCUGGGAAUUGCAUUGGAGACUGCAAGGCUAGAAUCUGGCAGAGGGGGGUAGAAUUCCACGUGUAGCAGUGAAAUGCGUAGAUAUGUGGAGGAACACCGAUGGCGAAGGCAGCCCCCUGGGUCAAGAUUGACGCUCAUGCACGAAAGCGUGGGGAGCAAACAGGAUUAGAUACCCCAGUAGUCCCAUG